GAAGAAUGAUCUGCAUGGCAGAAUCUGGGAGAGGAGUUCAGGCCCUUUGGACUGAUUCUCAAAAGCUGUGUUGACCAUAGCUGACAGAUGAAGAAACUGAGACUCAGAGAGGUUAAGUACCUUCCCCAUGAUCACACAGAAAUGUGAGCCUUGGCAGCAAUCCCUAUGGUGGAAGAAUGAGCAUGGUGUCAGGCAAUAAACACCCAAAUGAGGAGACGGUGUUACAAACGUCAGGGGCUCUAGAGGCC
This is a long non-coding RNA of Cervus elaphus (red deer), 248 nucleotides long. RefSeq lists it as uncharacterized. The transcript has 3 exons. Lineage: Eukaryota; Metazoa; Chordata; Mammalia; Artiodactyla; Cervidae. The record is from RefSeq and is a predicted model, not a curated record.